Corvus hawaiiensis (hawaiian crow) is the source of this 1224-nucleotide long non-coding RNA. RefSeq lists it as uncharacterized. NCBI's taxonomy places the organism in Eukaryota, Metazoa, Chordata, Aves, Passeriformes, Corvidae. The transcript has 3 exons. The record is from RefSeq and is a predicted model, not a curated record.
GCCGCCCGGCUCCUUGCAUCCCUCUCCCCUGCAAACUCUCCUCCUGGAGGGAGAGGGAGCGGCCAGGAUCCCCCCAGUCCCCGGGACCCUCCAGGAGCUCCUGUGAACCACCCGGGACUGCCUAGAACCCCCAGGCCCCCGGGGCCCUCCAGGACUUCCCUUAGCCGCCUCGGGAACCCCCAGGACUCCCCCAGGACAGCCCACAGGGCUCCCUCGAUCCCCGGGACCCCGCAUCGCCCCUCGCCGGCAUCCCCCGCCUGCGUCCGCUGGGUCCUAGCGCACCGCUGAGCCGGACGGGGAGGAGGAGGAAGAGGAGGAGGAAGGAGACCAGGCAGGGGAUGGGGGCUGCAGCAUUUCCUUCUCUGCUGGUGUCACCUGGCACUGCCAUCCCCUGUGAAUACCUGCCACCACCCACUGCCUGAAACAUGAGGAACGAGAGGUCUUCAUUUUCCUGAGGUCCCCAAAUGGGAAUGGCCAUGUCCCUGGUUGCUGGCAGGGCUGUUUUUGGAAAGGGGUGUCUGUGCAGCCCCGUGGCCAGAUAAAUAAGAAGCUUCAAACCUCAAUAAGUGCAAACAAGAAACCCGGCCAGCAGACCUGUCGGGCCCACCCUGUGUGUCUUGCUCUGCACGUGGUGGCAACUCCUGGGAAAAAUGGCAGCUGUGGAUACAGAUCCAGGGCAACAUCUCCACUGGUGGCAGCUGAAGCAGAUUUGAACGAGUGACAGGCCCCUGGCAGCAGGGUCACGGCAUCAGGGGCUGGCAUUGGCCACGAUGAACAACAGCAAGGAAGUUUGGUGCCCAUCACCAAAUGCUCCCCAGCCCCCUUGGGGCACCUCGGCCCUGCCUCUGCCUCAUUGCUCACAAACCUCCGACCCUGAACUUCCAAUUUCACGAACAGCCAAAGCCAGAAGCCAGAUGUGGUGACACACUUCCCUGCAGUCAGGGACAGCAAAUGAGUGAAUAAGCAGGAGCAGCACUGACCAGCAGGAAUUUUCCCUGUGGAGGAGGCGGAUGCUCAGGACCCGGGUGACAGUGACGGGACAAAGCCUUGUCCCCCAUUUCCUCCAGCCUAUGGGAUGGGAGGGAUGUGCUGAGUGAAAACAAAGGCAACAAGAGCCCCAGUGAGCAGGAGCGAGGGUGUGAGUAUGGAGGGACUCUGAGGGAUGAAAAUCCCUCAGCAAAUAACGAGACUUGUACAUUGGUCCUACUUAAUAAAAAAUAUGUG